CCUACGGGUGGCAGCAGUGGGGGAUAUUGGACAAUGGGGGAAACCCUGAUCCAGCGAUGCCGCGUGAGGGAAGAAGGUUUUCGGAUUGUAAACCUCUGUGGAGGGGGACGAUAAUGACGGUAACCAAGGAGAAAGCUCCGGCUAACUACGUGCCAGCAGCCGCGGUAAUACGUAGGGAGCAAGCGUUGUCCGGAUUUACUGGGUGUAAAGGGUGCGUAGGCGGUCUUGCAAGUCAGACGUGAAAACCACAGGCUCAACCUGUGGACUGCGUUUGAAACUGUGGGGCUUGAGUGAAGUAGAGGUAGGCGGAAUUCCCGGUGUAGCGGUGAAAUGCGUAGAGAUCGGGAGGAACACCAGUGGCGAAGGCGGCCUACUGGGCUUUAACUGACGCUGAGGCACGAAAGCAUGGGUAGCAAACAGGAUUAGAUACCCCUGUAGUC
Molecule: ribosomal RNA, 440 nt
Filed under: uncultured bacterium
Lineage: Bacteria
Description: partial 16S ribosomal RNA
Rfam family: Bacterial small subunit ribosomal RNA
Source: RNAcentral